Non-coding RNA from Podarcis lilfordi (Lilford's wall lizard), 72 nucleotides. Lineage: Eukaryota; Metazoa; Chordata; Lepidosauria; Squamata; Lacertidae. The record is from the annotation of a GenBank genome assembly.
UAAAGCCUCAGUUGGUAGAAUAUGAAACUCUUAAUCUCAGGGUUGUGGGUUUGAGCCCCGUGUUGGGAAAAA